This 582-nucleotide ribosomal RNA is filed under the name Triticum aestivum (bread wheat). RNAcentral describes it as "partial small subunit ribosomal RNA". Lineage: Eukaryota; Viridiplantae; Streptophyta; Magnoliopsida; Poales; Poaceae. The record is from RNAcentral.
AUGCAGUGCACUAAGAGACAACAGUCUCUGCUCUUAUGUGUAAUUAUUGGGCUGCCAUGUGGUUUUGGUGUUCUACUUUUGAGCUUCAGUGUAGUGCUUCUCACUCGUAGAUGGAAAAUAAAUGUUCAAAAGCGACGAUGCAAGAACUAUUUCCGGAAGAACCAAGGUUUUCUCCUAGAAAGAUUGAUAUCAUCUGAUAAAAGUGCAAACGAGAAUACAAAGAUUUUCUCGUUAGAAGAGCUGGAGAAGGCAACCAAUAACUCUGAUCCUACACGUAUCAUUGGCCGUGGGGGUCAUGGCAUGGUUUACAAAGGCAUAUUAUCCGAUCAGCGUGUUGUUGCAAUAGAAAAGUCUAAGUUCAUUGAGGAGUGUGAGAUCAGUCAGUUCAUUAAUGAGGUCGCAGUCCUCUCUGAGAUAAAUCACAGAAAUAUUGUGAAGCAAUUUGUAUGUUGUCUCAAAACCGAGGUUCCACUGCUGGUUUAUGAUUAUGUAUCCAGUGGCUCACUGUCUGAAGUUCUUCAUGCAGAUGUAAGUAAUGAUCUUUCUUUGUCUUGGGGUGAUUACUUAAGGAUUGCCCUGUAA